CAGUCAUUGGACAAAGUGAAUGGGUCAUAUGGGCUUGCCUAAGUUCCGACCCAGGAAAGUCCCCGGGCCACUAUCCGCAGAGAUGCGGCCUCGGUAACGAGAGAAUCAUACGGUAGAGAGGUCCUAAAAGCUGAGACGCGUGUGUGGAGCUUCUGUGGUCUCUCCGCCGAUGAUAUCAUGGCCGUUCGUUUCACGACAGUUAUUCACUUGGUCCUCGGACUAACUGAACGGGGCUUAUGUUCCAAUGACA
RNAcentral lists this RNase MRP RNA (250 nucleotides) under Arabidopsis lyrata subsp. lyrata. RNAcentral's name for it is "SRP RNA RNase_MRP". It matches the Rfam family "RNase MRP". Rfam says of the family: RNase MRP is an enzymatically active ribonucleoprotein with two distinct roles in eukaryotes. In mitochondria it plays a direct role in the initiation of mitochondrial DNA replication. In the nucleus it is involved in precursor rRNA processing, where it cleaves the internal transcribed spacer 1 between 18S and 5.8S rRNAs. The record is from Rfam by way of RNAcentral. Lineage: Eukaryota; Viridiplantae; Streptophyta; Magnoliopsida; Brassicales; Brassicaceae.